UACAGAGGGUGCAAGCGUUAAUCGGAAUUACUGGGCGUAAAGCGCACGUAGGUGGAUAUUUAAGUUGGCUGUGAAAGCCCCGAGCUUAACUUGGGAUGGUCAGCCAAAACUGGAUAUCUAGAGUACAGUAGAGGACAGUGGAAUUUCCGGUGUAGCGGUGAAAUGCGUAGAUAUCGGAAGGAACACCAGUGGCGAAGGCGACUGUCUGGGCUGAUACUGACACUGAGGUGCGAAAGCGUGGGUAGCAAACAGG
This 253-nucleotide ribosomal RNA is filed under the name uncultured bacterium. RNAcentral's name for it is "partial 16S ribosomal RNA". It matches the Rfam family "Bacterial small subunit ribosomal RNA", at positions 524 to 776 of the family's 1533-position model. The record is from RNAcentral.